AUUGAACGCUGGCGGCAUGCUUUACACAUGCAAGUCGAACGGUAACAGGCCGCAAGGUGCUGACGAGUGGCGAACGGGUGAGUAAUGCAUCGGGACGUGCCCAGUCGUGGGGGAUAACUACUCGAAAGAGUAGCUAAUACCGCAUACGAUCUAUGGAUGAAAGCGGGGGACCGUAAGGCCUCGCGCGAUUGGAGCGGCCGAUGUCAGAUUAGGUAGUUGGUGGGGUAAAGGCUCACCAAGCCAACGAUCUGUAGCUGGUCUGAGAGGACGACCAGCCACACUGGGACUAAGACACGGCCCAGACUCCCACGGGAGGCAGCAGUGGGGAAUUUUGGACAAUGGGCGCAAGCCUGAUCCAGCAAUGCCGCGUGCAGGAAGAAGGCCUUCGGGUUGUAAACUGCUUUUGUACGGAACGAAACGGCUCUGGUUAAUACCCGGGGCUAAUGACGGUACCGUAAGAAUAAGCACCGGCUAACUACGUG
RNAcentral lists this ribosomal RNA (482 nucleotides) under uncultured bacterium. RNAcentral describes it as "partial 16S ribosomal RNA". It matches the Rfam family "Bacterial small subunit ribosomal RNA", at positions 30 to 507 of the family's 1533-position model. The record is from RNAcentral.